This 107-nucleotide small RNA is filed under the name Marmota monax (woodchuck). The record is from RNAcentral. Lineage: Eukaryota; Metazoa; Chordata; Mammalia; Rodentia; Sciuridae.
GCCAGGCAUGGUGGCGCCUGCCUGUAAUCCCAACCACUCUGGAGGCUGAAGCAGGAGGAUCACAAGUUCAAGGCCAGCCUGGGCAACUUAGCAAGACCCUGUCUCAA